UACGUAGGGUGCAAGCGUUAUCCGGAGUUAUUGGGCGUAAAGAGCUCGUAGGCGGUUUGUCGCGUCUGCUGUGAAAACCCGAGGCUCAACCUCGGGCCUGCAGUGGGUACGGGCAGACUAGAGUGCGGUAGGGGAGAUUGGAAUUCCUGGUGUAGCGGUGGAAUGCGCAGAUAUCAGGAGGAACACCGAUGGCGAAGGCAGAUCUCUGGGCCGUAACUGACGCUGAGGAGCGAAAGCGUGGGGAGCGAACAGG
This 253-nucleotide ribosomal RNA is filed under the name uncultured bacterium. Its description in RNAcentral is "partial 16S ribosomal RNA". It matches the Rfam family "Bacterial small subunit ribosomal RNA", at positions 524 to 776 of the family's 1533-position model. The record is from RNAcentral.